ACGGAAGGCAGCAGUGGGGAAUAUUGGGCAAUGGGCGAAAGCCUGACCCAGCGACGCCGCGUGAAGGAAGAAGGUCUUCGGAUUGUAAACUUCUUUUAUGUAGGACGAAGAAAGUGACGGUACUACAUGAAUAAGCCACGGCUAACUACGUGCCAGCAGCCGCGGUAAUACGUAGGUGGCAAGCGUUAUCCGGAUUUACUGGGUGUAAAGGGCGCGUAGGCGGGGAUGCAAGUCAGAUGUGAAAUCCAUGGGCUCAACCCAUGAACUGCAUUUGAAACUGUGUCUCUUGAGUGCUGGAGAGGUAGAUGGAAUUCCUAGUGUAGCGGUGAAAUGCGUAGAUAUUAGGAGGAACACCAGUGGCGAAGGCGGCUUGCUGGACGAAAACUGACGCUGAGGCGCGAAGGCGUGGGGAGCAAACAGGAUUAGAUACCCUGGUA
Molecule: ribosomal RNA, 437 nt
Rfam family: Bacterial small subunit ribosomal RNA